RNAcentral lists this ribosomal RNA (254 nucleotides) under uncultured bacterium. RNAcentral describes it as "partial 16S ribosomal RNA". It matches the Rfam family "Bacterial small subunit ribosomal RNA", at positions 524 to 776 of the family's 1533-position model. The record is from RNAcentral.
UACGGGGGGAGCAAGCGUUGUGCGGAUUUACUGGGCGUAAAGGGCGCGUAGGCGGUCACGACAAGUCAGUUGUGAAAUCUCCGGGCUUAACUCGGAACGGUCAACUGAUACUGUCGGACUAGAGUGCAGAAGGGGCAACUGGAAUUCUCGGUGUAGCGGUGAAAUGCGUAGAUAUCGAGAGGAACACCUGCGGCGAAGGCGGGUUGCUGGGCUGACACUGACGCUGAGGCGCGAAAGCUAGGGGAGCGAACGGG